Otolemur garnettii (small-eared galago) is the source of this 186-nucleotide small nuclear RNA. The record is from Ensembl. NCBI's taxonomy places the organism in Eukaryota, Metazoa, Chordata, Mammalia, Primates, Galagidae.
AAAAAGGGCUUCUUUCGUGAGUGGCACACAUGGCGCAACUCAACUGCUCUUCAUGUGGAAUCGACAUCAAGAGAUUUUGGAAGCAUAAUUUUUUGGUACCUGGGCAGCUGGUGAUCAUUGGUCAAAAAAAAGAAAAAGAAAAAAAAAACAGCUCUAAGUCCCAGGGUUCCAGAACCUGGCUCCUUC